This 564-nucleotide ribosomal RNA is filed under the name Trigonopterus sp. 531 AR-2020. Its description in RNAcentral is "SSU rRNA". It matches the Rfam family "Eukaryotic small subunit ribosomal RNA", at positions 30 to 572 of the family's 1831-position model. Lineage: Eukaryota; Metazoa; Arthropoda; Insecta; Coleoptera; Curculionidae. The record is from RNAcentral.
GCUUGUCUCAAAGAUUAAGCCAUGCAUGUCUCAGUACAAGCCAAAUUAAGGUGAAACCGCGAAAGGCUCAUUAAAUCAGUUAUGGUUCCUUAGAUCGUACCCACAAUUACUUGGAUAACUGUGGUAAUUCUAGAGCUAAUACACGCAAACAGAGCUCCGACCGGAGACGGAAGGAGUGCUUUUAUUAGAUCAAAACCAAUCGGUGGCGGGUUCGCUCGUUAUCGUACAACUUGGUGACUCUGAAUAACUUUACGCUGAUCGCACGGUCCUCGCACCGGCGACGCAUCUUUCAAAUGUCUGCCUUAUCAACUGUCGAUGGUAGGUUCUGCGCCUACCAUGGUUGUAACGGGUAACGGGGAAUCAGGGUUCGAUUCCGGAGAGGGAGCCUGAGAAACGGCUACCACAUCCAAGGAAGGCAGCAGGCGCGCAAAUUACCCACUCCCGGCACGGGGAGGUAGUGACGAAAAAUAACGAUACGGGACUCAUCCGAGGCCCCGUAAUCGGAAUGAGUACACUCUAAACCCUUUAACGAGGAUCAAUUGGAGGGCAAGUCUGGUGCCAGCA